UACACGAUGUGAAUAAUGAUUAGAAGAACCAUUAUCCCCGAGCUCUAAUGGCGCGAUAGUUAAUUUUGCAAAAGUGCCCAAAUUAAUCCCUUUGGUCGCUUUACCAGGAUUCAAUGAUACAACGUUUUCAACGUUCUAUAACAUUAGUUAAAACAAAGUAGAAAAUUAACAUACCUUUACGAAAUAACGUAAAUCACUUGGUAAAAUUAGUAUGUCCGGCAUAGUAUUUAGGAAUUCACCAAGUUUAAGAUGUGCGAUAUCUAAGUUUGAAGGGUUGCACUUUUCAAGAGAACCUCCAGGGAAUAAGGGAUAAAAAUGCCUUUGGUGAAGUACGUGAGAAACCAAACGUGCAAAUAAGUUACCAUGAGAAGGUAGACGAAAUAACUCUUCUCUAGAUGUGUGAAGGAGUAUAUCGUUGGUUGACACACCAAAGACGACAUCAUUAAUGGAAAACAUGCAAGGAUUCGGGAAGCAUUUGAAGUUCUAUGGAUUGGUCAAUAAAAAUUAUUAUACAACUUAACAUACAGAUGGAAGACCUAAGGCCACCCGAUUAAAUGCAUCCUGUGGCCAUGCAGGAUGAUCUGAAGCAGCAUCAUUGAUGUGAGGAAUUAAAAUACAAGGACAAGUUAGCUGGCUUAAUAUGGGUGUGACACGCUCUUUAAACAACUCUUCCAAAGAAGUCGCAGACGUUCCUGUAAUGUUUCCGGUACGUAUUAGUAUAUGAUUAAUAUCCAAGAAUGGACCACAUAGAAUAACCAAGUCAACAGGAUUUUUAUUUACAUAUGAAAUCAUUGAUUUUAAAGGGGAAAAAGAGAGAUCAUCACGGAGAGACCAAGGUCCAGAUGCAAUAUAUAUAGAAAUUGGCUGAUUAUUUGUAUUAGCAACAAAGGUAGCGUGCUCCUGUUUAGAUGAACUUGGGAACGGCAAAGGAGGUAUAGGAAGGAUUUCCUUGGCGAUAAACAUGUUACCGCUAGGAUUGGAUCCUUUAACUGAAACAAUUUGACCAGGAAAUAUUGAGUAACUUGGUAGAUCAUCCACCUUCAAACGAACUCGAACACCAGCGCCUAGACGUCUUGAACUUUCAAGUAAAAUGCUAUUUUGGUUGAGUCUUCCACCUAAAUUGGUACUUUCGACAACAAUUCGUCCUACAACUACAACGGGUUCUUGAGUAAGUUCGCUAGGAUUUGCCAAAUCUUCAUCACUUAUGUUGUAUUUUCUGCAAGUUAAUGCACUAAAAAGCUCAAUGCGAUCAUCCAGAACUUCAGAAGAAUCAUAAAGCUUUUGAUACAUGAUCCUGUAAUUAAAUGCCUUGAGAUCAAAAUUCGCUACGAUAACCAGCUUGGAUGGAGCUGAAGGUUUUGAAGUUACAAUUUUUAAUUCUUUAUUUAAAACUUCCAAAACCCUUCCAGCGUCACUGGAAUUCAAUUCGAAAGUUUCGGUAGAUGGUUUAGACUCUUGCAUCAACGAGUCGCCUGAUGCGGUGGUCUUCACUGGUAGACCUAGUCUAGAUAUUUGUUAGUUAAAACCAUUUGCUAAUGUACGCACAUGCUAUCAAUAUUCAUUCCCGGGAUUUGCUUUAUCGAUUUUCUUUCAGGAUUCUGUUUAAGUGUGGCUUUUACCUGCCUCUCCAUUUGAAAUUUCAUGUCUUUAGCAAAGGCCUUGAAUGUGUCAAGGUCGAGUUUUGGUGUAUUUCCUCGUUGCAAACACCAGGACUCCCACUUGUAGAACAUUGUUUGCUCGUCCAUAUUGCAAAUUUGGAGAAGUUUAUUUCGCUCAUCUAGCAAUUCCUCAUCAUCGAUAGGAAAUUCCAUUUUUUUGAAGAUUGAAUGAAGUUGAAAAUGAAACAAGAUACCCAAAAAAAAAGACAGUAAAUGAAUACCUGGGAAUAUUACGAGCAAAUUAAUUUGAAGUGACUAAUUUUGUACUGUGAUGUGG
Non-coding RNA from Schizosaccharomyces pombe (fission yeast), 1935 nucleotides. Lineage: Eukaryota; Fungi; Ascomycota; Schizosaccharomycetes; Schizosaccharomycetales; Schizosaccharomycetaceae. The record is from the annotation of a GenBank genome assembly.